This 71-nucleotide transfer RNA is filed under the name Neocucumis proteus. RNAcentral describes it as "tRNA-Cys". Lineage: Eukaryota; Metazoa; Echinodermata; Holothuroidea; Dendrochirotida; Cucumariidae. The record is from RNAcentral.
GGUCCUAAAGUGUUUUUACAUAUUUAAUUGCAAAUUAAAAGAAGCUAAUACAAAAUAAUUAGCUAGGACUU